RNAcentral lists this ribosomal RNA (253 nucleotides) under uncultured bacterium. RNAcentral's name for it is "partial 16S ribosomal RNA". It matches the Rfam family "Bacterial small subunit ribosomal RNA", at positions 524 to 776 of the family's 1533-position model. The record is from RNAcentral.
UACAGAGGGUGCGAGCGUUAAUCGGAAUUACUGGGCGUAAAGCGCGCGUAGGCGGCUUUGCAAGUCGGGUGUGAAAUCCCCAGGCUUAACCUGGGAACUGCAUCCGAUACUGGAUGGCUUGAAUCCGGGAGAGGGAUGCAGAAUUCCAGGUGUAGCGGUGAAAUGCGUAGAUAUCUGGAGGAAUACCGGUGGCGAAGGCGGCAUCCUGGACCGGCAUUGACGCUGAUGAGCGAAAGCUAGGGGAGCAAACGGG